CCUACGGGUGGCUGCAGUGGGGAAUUUUGGACAAUGGGCGCAAGCCUGAUCCAGCCAUGCCGCGUGAGUGAAGAAGGCCUUCGGGUUGUAAAGCUCUUUCGGCCGGGAAGAAAUCGUAUGGGUUAAUACCCUGUGCGGAUGACGGUACCGGCAUAAGAAGCACCGGCUAACUACGUGCCAGCAGCCGCGGUAAUACGUAGGGUGCGAGCGUUAAUCGGAAUUACUGGGCGUAAAGCGUGCGCAGGCGGUUUUGUAAGACAGGCGUGAAAUCCCCGGGCUCAACCUGGGAACUGCGCUUGUGACUGCAAGGCUAGAGUACGGCAGAGGGGGGUGGAAUUCCACGUGUAGCAGUGAAAUGCGUAGAGAUGUGGAGGAACACCAAUGGCGAAGGCAGCCCCCUGGGUCGAUACUGACGCUCAUGCACGAAAGCGUGGGUAGCAAACAGGAUUAGAUACCCGGGUAGUC
Molecule: ribosomal RNA, 465 nt
Filed under: uncultured bacterium
Lineage: Bacteria
Description: bacterial SSU rRNA
Rfam family: Bacterial small subunit ribosomal RNA
Source: RNAcentral